GGUCGAAUAGCCGGUGCCGGUGACGAUGACGACCUGCCGGGUCGCGGCGGGCAGGGUGGUCAACCGGGAGGCCCGGUUCGGUGGCGGGACCGGCCGC
Molecule: transfer RNA, 97 nt
Filed under: Micromonospora sp. AKA109
Lineage: Bacteria; Bacillati; Actinomycetota; Actinomycetes; Micromonosporales; Micromonosporaceae
Description: tRNA-Gly
Source: RNAcentral